Molecule: non-coding RNA, 843 nt
Organism: Heterocephalus glaber (naked mole-rat)
Lineage: Eukaryota; Metazoa; Chordata; Mammalia; Rodentia; Bathyergidae
Source: RefSeq, a predicted model, not a curated record
UCCAACUGGCCAGGCUUGAAGCUAAGGGGGAAUUACAGCAGCCAGCGUUUGCACAGGGUGAAGACCCAAGGCUGGUUAGGGAUGCGACACCCGAGGAGAGGAGCGCUCUGCCAGCCCACUGAGCCUUUCUUGUGGCAAUGCUGUUACCUUCCGGUGGGGCUAAGGGCUCCAACAUGGCUCGGGCUGGGGCUAACAAGUUACUGCUCUUUGAGAAUCUCCAUGCUGGUCCCAGGAUUCCACGCCCACGAGACAAGAAUUCCCAUCCAUGUUUCACAGUAAGGAGGCUCCCAGAGCAAGUCACCAGCCCAGUGCCAGGCCUGAGCCCUCGGCCUCUGCCAGAGCGAAGCGUGUGCCCCACUGGAGAGGAAGAAGGCUCAGAUCGGUGCCUUCCUGAGAAGGAAGAGCUCAGCAGCUCAGGAUUUCCAUCUGGAGGCUUGUGAGAAGUGGCUCAAGCGUCCCUCUUCCCCCUGUGGAUUUUCGUGACCUCUGCUUUAUCUCAUCCCCAUUAACCAUGUGACUCUGGCUCUGUAAUCUGCCCUUCUAAAGGUGGGAAAGGUGAGUUCCCUGACAGCACUGUGCUGGUGCCCAGCUGCCCCCUGGUCCCGGACACAGAAACAGAACCCAAGCUUCAUCCUAGCGGGGACCUCCUGCCCACCGGACCUUGGCCACCUCCUACCUUGGGGAAAGCAAAGCUCUUGCCAGAUGGGGCUUCCUGUGCCUCUUGCGGGGCCAUGUCCCCCAAAUCCAGCUGGCCGGCAUAAAAGGAGCUCAGUAAAUCCCUGAUGAAUGAAUGAAUAGAUCAAUGAAAGAAUAAAAGCUACCUAGCAUAUAAUCCUGGAAAAA